Biomphalaria pfeifferi is the source of this 201-nucleotide non-coding RNA. Lineage: Eukaryota; Metazoa; Mollusca; Gastropoda; Planorbidae. The record is from the annotation of a GenBank genome assembly.
GUUACACAAUCAUCAUUUUUAAUGUGACUUAAAUACUCUGAAAUGUAUAGUCGGUGAACAACAAUAGCACAGCAGUCAAUAACAUCAGCAUUUUGUAUAGCAACAAUGUGUAUAGUAACUUAAUAAACAACAUAGAAUAAUGGUCAUCCUGAAUUUAUAUGAAAAAAAAAAAAAAAGGUACAACAUUUCAUUAAAUGGCUG